This 427-nucleotide long non-coding RNA is filed under the name Homo sapiens (human). Its description in RNAcentral is "non-protein coding lnc-GFAP-3:1". The record is from RNAcentral. Lineage: Eukaryota; Metazoa; Chordata; Mammalia; Primates; Hominidae.
AGCGGCCUGGGAACUCUUAGCUGAGCAGGCGAGAGCAUCAUGGAUACCGACUUAUAUGAUGAGUUUGGGAAUUAUAUUGGACCAGAGCUUGAUUCUGAUGAAGAUGAUGAUGAAUUGGGUAGAGAGACCAAAGAUCUUGAUGAGGUAAAACAAAUAUAUUGCUCUUUUAUCUCACUCUUAUUUAUUUUAUUUAAGACAAGAUCUCACUCUCUUGCCAGGUUGGAGUGCAGUGGCGCAAUCUCAGCUCACUGCAACCUCCACCUCCUGGGCUUAAGUGAUCCUCCCACCUUGGCCUCCCAAGUAGCUGGGACUACAGGUAUGCACCACCAUGCCCAGCUAAUUUUUUUUUAUUUUUCGUGGAGAUGAAACAUUGCCCAGGCUGGUCUUGAACUCCUGAGCUCGAGCAGUCCACCUGCCUUGGCCUCCC